Molecule: ribosomal RNA, 35 nt
Filed under: Lactarius serifluus
Lineage: Eukaryota; Fungi; Basidiomycota; Agaricomycetes; Russulales; Russulaceae
Description: partial 28S ribosomal RNA
Source: RNAcentral
UGGCCUCAAAUCGGGUGAGACUACCCGCUGAACUU